Molecule: unclassified non-coding RNA, 185 nt
Filed under: fungal sp.
Lineage: Eukaryota; Fungi
Description: partial internal transcribed spacer region
Rfam family: Eukaryotic small subunit ribosomal RNA (bases 1-46)
Source: RNAcentral
AAGUCGUAACAAGGUUUCCGUAGGUGAACCUGCGGAAGGAUCAUUACCGAUUAUAGCGAGCCUCGGUCGCUUCUGACCGAGGUAUCGUGAAACCUGUAUUUAAAACCCACUCUUAAUAAAAAUUUAUUGUAUCAAUUAUGAUGAUAAUAUAAAGAUCACUUUCAACAACGGAUCUCUUGGCUCUC